RNAcentral lists this ribosomal RNA (380 nucleotides) under uncultured bacterium. RNAcentral describes it as "bacterial SSU rRNA". It matches the Rfam family "Bacterial small subunit ribosomal RNA", at positions 29 to 412 of the family's 1533-position model. The record is from RNAcentral.
AUUGAACGCUGGCGGCAUGCCUUACACAUGCAAGUCGAACGGCAGCACGGGAGCAAUCCUGGUGGCGAGUGGCGAACGGGUGAGUAAUAUAUCGGAACGUGCCCAGUCGUGGGGGAUAACGUAGCGAAAGUUACGCUAAUACCGCAUACGAUCCAUGGAUGAAAGCGGGGGAUCGCAAGACCUCGCGCGAUUGGAGUGGCCGAUAUCAGAUUAGGUAGNGGUGGGGUAAAGCUCACCAAGCCGACGAUCUGUAGCUGGUCUGAGAGGACGACCAGCCACACUGGGACUGAGACACGGCCCAGACUCCUACGGGAGGCAGCAGUGGGAAUUUUGGACAAUGGGCGAAAGCCUGAUCCAGCAAUGCCGCGUGCAGGGACGAA